RNAcentral lists this ribosomal RNA (465 nucleotides) under Saprolegnia sp. Its description in RNAcentral is "partial small subunit ribosomal RNA". It matches the Rfam family "Bacterial small subunit ribosomal RNA", at positions 876 to 1345 of the family's 1533-position model. Lineage: Eukaryota; Oomycota; Saprolegniomycetes; Saprolegniales; Saprolegniaceae. The record is from RNAcentral.
AAGAGUAUAAUCGCAAGAUUGAAAUUCAAAGGAAUUGACGGGAGUCUACACAAGCGGUGGAGCAUGUGGUUUAAUUCGAUAAUACGCGCAGAACCUUACCAAUUCUUGUAAAUAUUUUUAAAAUAUUUUUUAAAAAAUACAGGCGUUGCAUGGCUGUCGUCAGCUCGUGUUGUGAGAUGUUUGGUUUAUUCCCUUAACGAGCGAAACCCCUAUUUUUAGUUGCUAAUUUAUAUUAAUAGACUCUUUUUAUAAAUGCACUUUAAAAAAAGUUAAUGACAUAUUAAUGGAAAUGGGGAUUACGUCAAGUCUUCAUGGCCCUUAUGAAUUGGGCUACACACGUGCUACAAUGAUAAAUACAAUGAGAGGCAAUAAUAAUAAAAAAUUGGAGCAAAUCUUUAAAAUUUAUCUUAGUUCGGAUUAUGGGCUGCAACUCGCCCAUAUAAAGUUGGAAUCGCUAGUAAUCGC